GACCUGUAAAAUAAGGGGAAAAUGAAGACUCUGCUGCCCUCCGAAGGCAGAGGCCAUAGGUUCGAAUCCUAUCGGGUGCGCCA
This 83-nucleotide transfer RNA is filed under the name Tranquillimonas alkanivorans. Its description in RNAcentral is "tRNA_Pseudo_CCG". The stretch from base 16 to 72 matches the Rfam family "tRNA", at positions 9 to 63 of the family's 71-position model. From Rfam's summary of the family: Transfer RNA (tRNA) molecules are approximately 80 nucleotides in length. Their secondary structure includes four short double-helical elements and three loops (D, anti-codon, and T loops). Lineage: Bacteria; Pseudomonadati; Pseudomonadota; Alphaproteobacteria; Rhodobacterales; Roseobacteraceae. The record is from RNAcentral.